GCCAGGCGCAAUGGUGUGUGCCUGUAGUCCCAGCUUCUCGUGAGGCUGACGCUGGAGGACCACUUAAGUUCAGGAGUUCUAAGCUGCUAUGAGCUAUGCUGAUCGGGUGUCCACACUAAGUUCAGCAUCAAUGUGGUGACCUCCUGGGAGCGAGGGACCACCAGGUUGCCUAAGGAGGGGUGAACCGGCCCAGGCUGGAAACGGAGCAGGUCAAAACUCCCAUGCUGAUCAGCAGUGGGAUUACACCUGUGAAUAGCCACUGCACUCCAGCCCGAGCAACAUAGCAAGACCCCAUCUCU
This 299-nucleotide signal recognition particle RNA is filed under the name Saimiri boliviensis boliviensis (Bolivian squirrel monkey). RNAcentral describes it as "Metazoan signal recognition particle RNA (ENSSBOG00000004559.1)". It matches the Rfam family "Metazoan signal recognition particle RNA". From Rfam's summary of the family: The signal recognition particle (SRP) is a universally conserved ribonucleoprotein. It is involved in the co-translational targeting of proteins to membranes. Lineage: Eukaryota; Metazoa; Chordata; Mammalia; Primates; Cebidae. The record is from RNAcentral.